Molecule: ribosomal RNA, 468 nt
Filed under: uncultured bacterium
Lineage: Bacteria
Description: partial 16S ribosomal RNA
Rfam family: Bacterial small subunit ribosomal RNA
Source: RNAcentral
GACGAACGCUGGCGGCGUGCUUAACACAUGCAAGUCGAACGGAAAGGCCCUGCUUUUGUGGGGUGCUCGAGUGGCGAACGGGUGAGUAACACGUGAGUAACCUGCCCUUGACUUUGGGAUAACUUCAGGAAACUGGGGCUAAUACCGGAUAGGAGCUCCUGCUGCAUGGUGGGGGUUGGAAAGUUUCGGCGGUUGGGGAUGGACUCGCGGCUUAUCAGCUUGUUGGUGGGGUAGUGGCUUACCAAGGCUUUGACGGGUAGCCGGCCUGGGAGGGUGACCGGCCACAUUGGGACUGAGAUACGGCGCAGACUCCUACGGGAGGCAGCAGUGGGAAAUAUUGCACAAUGGGCGGAAGCCUGAUGCAGCAACGCCGCGUGCGGGAUGACGGCCUUCGGGUUGUAAACCGCUUUCGCCUGUGACGAAGCGUGAGUGACGGUAAUGGGUAAAGAAGCACCGGCUAACUACGUG